This 253-nucleotide ribosomal RNA is filed under the name uncultured bacterium. Its description in RNAcentral is "partial 16S ribosomal RNA". It matches the Rfam family "Bacterial small subunit ribosomal RNA", at positions 524 to 776 of the family's 1533-position model. The record is from RNAcentral.
UACGUAGGUGGCAAGCGUUACUCGGAAUCACUAGGCGUAAAGCGCAGGUAGGCGGUUCGGUAAGUCUGUUGUGAAAGCUCCCGGCUCAACUGGGAGAGGUCAACGGAAACUGCCGGGCUUGAGUGUGGUAGAGGUAGCUGGAAUUCCCGGUGUAGCGGUGAAAUGCGCAGAUAUCAGGAGGAACACCGGUGGCGAAGGCGGGUCUCUGGGCAACAACUGACGCUGAGGAGCGAAAGCGUGGGGAGCGAACAGG